CCUACGGGGGGCAGCAGUGGGGAAUAUUGGACAAUGGGGGCAACCCUGAUCCAGCCAUGCCGCGUGUGUGAAGAAGGCCCUCGGGUUGUAAAGCACUUUCAGUGAGGAAGAACGCCUGGUGGUUAAUACCCAUCAGGAAAGACAUCACUCACAGAAGAAGCACCGGCUAACUCCGUGCCAGCAGCCGCGGUAAUACGGAGGGUGCGAGCGUUAAUCGGAAUUACUGGGCGUAAAGCGCGCGUAGGUGGCUUGAUAAGCCGGUUGUGAAAGCCCCGGGCUCAACCUGGGAACGGCAUCCGGAACUGUCAAGCUAGAGUGCAGGAGAGGAAGGUAGAAUUCCCGGUGUAGCGGUGAAAUGCGUAGAGAUCGGGAGGAAUACCAGUGGCGAAGGCGGCCUUCUGGACUGACACUGACACUGAGGUGCGAAAGCGUGGGUAGCAAACAGGAUUAGAUACCCCGGUAGUCC
RNAcentral lists this ribosomal RNA (466 nucleotides) under Vreelandella stevensii. RNAcentral describes it as "partial 16S ribosomal RNA". It matches the Rfam family "Bacterial small subunit ribosomal RNA", at positions 338 to 796 of the family's 1533-position model. The record is from RNAcentral. Lineage: Bacteria; Pseudomonadati; Pseudomonadota; Gammaproteobacteria; Oceanospirillales; Halomonadaceae.